GUCAGGCUGCAGCUGACCACGAUAUUCCACUGGAGCCAGUGUUUUGAGCUUACAGCCCUGGAGCAGCAGGACAUCUGAUCCCGGUUGACGUACACCAAACAUAACAAGACAAUCGCCAAACAUGACAGACGAAUGCCAGGUUUGUCUGCAUGCUGCGCGUGACGUCACUACGGCAGAGACAGUUACAACAUUUGACAUGGAGAAGGCCGUAGUAUAUGGAUCUGGGCGCAGAGUGACCAACUUGAAGACCCGGAGGAGAGAGCUAUUGGCGAAAUUCUGUAACCGUGUCUGUGCUCUAAGAAACUCUGGCGGAGGUAUUUUGUUGAUUCACUUCCAGGGAAACAACGAGACCCAAAGUAAAGAUCUGAAUGCAUUUGAUGAGUUGGUCGACUUGAAGCUCAACGCCAUGAUAGAAGAUGACACAUUAUUUGUAGACAAUUAUGAAAGAAGCUGGCUUGACGAUAAUGUUGUAAUCCUGAAGGUUAAGUCCUCGCCGUCUUGCUCAACAUCAGACUUCAAGACAAAGAUCCCCCUGGACAACUGCCUUAGUGACCCCUCAGCUAGGAACAUCCCGCAGUUGUAUAAUCUCACGCCUGAAGACAGGAGCUCUCAGAUGCAACCGCAACCGCAGGUCUUCAUAGACUGGUCAACGAAUUUUGUUCCUUUGCAUGAAAGUCGGAAUACUGAAUUGAAGAGUUUUGGAAUAGGAUUUGUUGUGCCAACAGAUAUUCAAGAAAAAGCACUCCUGAUCUGGGAAGCACUUAAGUUAAGAGAAAAUGUAACAGCUAUGACAAAACUUCUUAGUGGUGGUUCAUUUUUUUGUGGAAUAGAGGAAGAACUGGUAGAUACGGGUGACUAUAAGGUGAAGAGGUCAAAGGUAUGUGGUAUGACCCUUGCUGAAGAUGAACUGGAAGAACUUAGACGUUUUCUACUGGAAAAGGUGCGAACAGACAUGAUGUGGACCAACCGAACCAACGAGAGCAUUGAGCCCCCAAUUGAUGCCGUAGAUAUACUAUUCCAUAAGGUUAGAGAGGAGACAUUCGUGAUGGAGGUUGUAAUCAAGUUCUUUGAUGGUUUGGUAUUUUAUGAUAAAGAUGGGCCAGAAUGUUAUGUAGUAAACAGUGACCUGAAACUGAGACGGGUAGAAUUCGCAGAGUGGAUACAGCGCGUGAGACCAGAAUAAAUCACUCAUGGGUAUCCUAAACCAAUGUCUACAUUUCCCAUCAUGAUGUUUACGUAUUACAGAGACUAUGUUAUUAUGAUUCAGCAUCCUGACAAUCAGAGACUUUCUGCAGCAGGGACGUUGUGAUUCAUUGUUGGCUUGAUCAUGCAUUACUUCCUACAUUAUGACGGAGAUCCAAUGCUUCUAGUGUUAUAUGGUGUCAUUUGUGUGUGCAUGCUGGAGACGUGUGGAGGAAUACACUACAUGUAUAUGUGUUCAUGAAACUGAUGACAGUAGCGGUGAUCAACAUUUAUCGAUCAUACACCACGAGGAUGGGAGAAGAGUCCACUUUGACUUGCCUGCGAGGCUGCUACAGUUUCGGACCGGCCAUCAAACACUCCGGGGAGUCCUUCAUGGAAAUUCUAGACUACUUCAAAUCCCUCCAAGAAGAAGAAAAGGGGAUCAACUUCACCUUGUUUCCCCCGUCAUUUGAACAAGAGCUUCAGGAGGACCAGCUGCACAUCACCGACACUGUCAGGCAAUACCUUGUAGCGAACAAAGGAGGGGUUGCGUUCUUUCACAAAUCUCUUUCCAACCUCGUGGCUCUGAAGACUCCGACUGACGUCAUCUGUGACGUCAUCAUUCUCACUCCCACUGACGUCCCGUACCUGUUGACCAUCGCGAAGGACAAGAAAGCGUCCCGGUCGUACAACCAAGCCAUGGCUAAACAUGUUCUACGCAAUCUAAGGCUCUUUGUUAGCGUGGACUUCACUCUAGCGUUUGGAGUAGUUGGUCUGGAGAGCAAUAUUGUAGAUUUGAAACUGUUCUCCGAACAGCUGAAGCUUGUUAAGUCAGCCUCCACGGCGUUCGCUCUAAAAACAUACAAGAUCAUGACUAAUUCCAAGUAUGAGAGCCUUGUGCGCGGAUUGAUUGCCAUGUUUGCCAUUGCCAAAACACCGACUGAAAACGGUUUCCAUGGCAACAAUUGCAAACAUAAUUCUAAAGUCAUCUGGUUAAUGCAGAAAGAUGCCUUUAAAACUAUGUUUGCAGUUGGAUAAAUCGCAGGAACGAAAUUCUGACUACAGCUUCUAAAAUAUGUUGUAUAUCUCGCUCAAGUGUUAUGACAGUUUAAACUUAAGUAUAGACCUUCCAGAUAGUAAUAACGGAGUUACUCGGUUAAAUGUUUUGGAGUGAAUGACCGUCCAAUCUAAACCAAAUGGGUGGUAAUUUGACUGUACGUAUCACACAGCAAGUAAGUUUCCAAGUAUGAACCGUAAAAUGUACAUUAUUUAGUUAACGUUAUCAAUGAAUGAAACAUCACUACGAAAUAUACAAAAUGGUUGACGGGAAAUGGUUGACUCUAUGUAGUUACUUCUACAGCCGACUGUAGCCGAGGAGAUCCAAUGAUACAGGUACAUAUUUACGGUAGGAUAACAGUCACUUCGCCUUGAUGAUAUGGCCUAAUUAUGUCUGAAUCAUAUGUCUUUGAGAUCAACAGAAAAGUGAAGUGACAAUAACGUAAUUUGAUUGGACAGUCAUGCAGGCUCUCAAAACAUUUUCAGCCUGACCAGGAAGUGAGACAACUGACACAUUUAAUGUCAUGUUACUUGUAUCUUUGUUCUAAUACUUGGUAUUAACAUUUAUAGUUCAUGAUCUCCUGCUUGUUUUAGGAGUUUAUAAUAUUAUGGUACAUGUUAUCUUUGUCCCGACAGUAUUGAUCUGACAAGAAAGGUUCUCACGCUACCUCCGAUAAUUUACUGUUGUAACUGCUUCUGCCAGACUGCGCGUGAUGUUUGUUCCAUGUUUGUAUUGAAAUAAUCCGCUGAAUAAAUAGUUCGUCUGGUCACACAGUCCUGUUUUUGAAGAAUGUGGGAAUGGGUAGGCAAGUUAGCACUAGUAUGACGGUGCUAAACGCAUUUCCACAGGCCAACCCGCGGUCGGCAGGGUCAUCUAAACGUUAGAAGGGUGAAC
This 3133-nucleotide unclassified non-coding RNA is filed under the name Haliotis rufescens (red abalone). Its description in RNAcentral is "uncharacterized LOC124110771, transcript variant X2". Lineage: Eukaryota; Metazoa; Mollusca; Gastropoda; Lepetellida; Haliotidae. The record is from RNAcentral.